This 167-nucleotide ribosomal RNA is filed under the name uncultured bacterium. RNAcentral's name for it is "partial 16S ribosomal RNA". It matches the Rfam family "Bacterial small subunit ribosomal RNA", at positions 1334 to 1500 of the family's 1533-position model. The record is from RNAcentral.
GCUAGUAAUCGCGAAUCAGCAUGUCGCGGUGAAUACGUUCCCGGGUCUUGUACACACCGCCCGUCACACCAUGGGAGUUGGAAAUGCCCGAAGUCAGUGACCCAACCGAAAGGAGGGAGCUGCCGAAGGCAGGUUCGAUAACUGGGGUGAAGUCGUAACAAGGUAGC